RNAcentral lists this ribosomal RNA (492 nucleotides) under uncultured bacterium. RNAcentral describes it as "partial 16S ribosomal RNA". It matches the Rfam family "Bacterial small subunit ribosomal RNA", at positions 29 to 507 of the family's 1533-position model. The record is from RNAcentral.
AGUGAACGCUGGCGGUAGGCCUAACACAUGCAAGUCGAACGGCAGCACAGUAAGAGCUUGCUCUUACGGGUGGCGAGUGGCGGACGGGUGAGGAAUACAUCGGAAUCUACUUUUUCGUGGGGGAUAACGUAGGGAAACUUACGCUAAUACCGCAUACGACCUACGGGGGAAAGCAGGGGAUCUUCGGACCUUGCGCGAUUGAAUGAGCCGAUGUCGGAUUAGCUAGUUGGCGGGGUAAAGGCCCACCAAGGCGACGAUCCGUAGCUGGUCUGAGAGGAUGAUCAGCCACACUGGAACUGAGACACGGUCCAGACUCCUACGGGAGGCAGCAGUGUGGAAUAUUGGACAAUGGGCGCAAGCCUGAUCCAGCCAUACCGCGUGGGUGAAGAAGGCCUUCGGGUUGUAAAGCCCUUUUGUUGGGAAAGAAAAGCAGCAGGUUAAUACCCCGCUGUUCUGACGGUACCCAAAGAAUAAGCACCGGCUAACUUCGUG